Molecule: long non-coding RNA, 1102 nt
Filed under: Vigna radiata
Lineage: Eukaryota; Viridiplantae; Streptophyta; Magnoliopsida; Fabales; Fabaceae
Description: long non-coding RNA (VRAD_LNC010933)
Source: RNAcentral
UCCUCACUUCACUAAUAAUUAAUUUUGAAUUCAUAAAUCCAUUAUAUAGUUAAAAAAAAGAAAUUAAAUAAAUAUUGACUUGACCCACUUUGACUAAACAUUUAUGUUUCUUACUUACACCCUGUGCUCUGCUGCAUCUUCUUUGGUGCUUCUUCCUUCUUCAUGCAUCUCUUUUGCCCAUUCCUGAGAAAGCGCCAACCCUUUUCCUUCACCAAUUACUUCCCUCCAUCAUGCAAGGAAACUAUUAACUCCAACAAAUAAAUAUAUAUUUAUAUAACAAUGUUCAAACAAACAUCUUUCUUAUUAUUCUUAUUUUUCGUACCCGAGGACACAUGGUGAAAGAGGAAACGAUGUUGCUUUUUCUGCACUGUCACGCAUCCACUGCCCAAUUCAGAAACAAAUAAUGGGACUCACGUUCCCUUCACUCCCUGUCAAUCAUUGAUUUGGAGUUGCAACAUCAUUAACUGUUCAAAUUAUUAUUAUUAUUAUUAUCAUCAUUCUGCAACAAAUGUUGUGAAGAAGUGAAAGGGAGUUCCGACCAUACCCCACUCUCGCAGACACUUGCACAUGUUUAAGGAGUCUUAGUGCCAUAACCAAAGUACCAAAAAAUAAAAGCCUACAAGAAAACAAACCUUUCAAAAGACGCACUGCUUCACAUCCUCUCCUCCUUCCCACUUUCUUUCUUGUCAGAGCUCCAACUUCAUGUUAGAUUAUGUUAAGUUACCAUAUACCCAUAGGUUUAUAAUUUUUGCCAAACAUACACAACCCAUUAUGGGGACAUUUUUUUAUGUGCAAUCAAUUCCACCCAUCUUUUAAAGCCUCUUUCUUUCUCUCCCAGCCAAAAGGAGGAAAAAAUUCCUUGCAUCAGAAACCGAAUUUGGCUGAAGAGAUGGCCCGGAUUAGUGUUCGGAUUAGACAUCUCUCUACUCGCUAAAACAACACCCUGUAUUUUAGGUCACAUUUACAUCAACUUUCUCUAAAGCGCAAUACUUUCCACCUGUAUCAGAAUCUGUGAUCUUCUUCUGAUGUUAACAUGUACACAUAUUUUACAUACAUAAAACAAACCACAAAAACCUGUAUAUUUUUUAUUAUUGGAUUUGGU